AGGUUAACCGCAUAGGGAAGCCGUAGAGAAAUCGAGUCCGAACAGGGCGAUAGUCGCUGGGUGUAGACCCGAAACCAAGUGAUCUACUCAUGGCCAGGAUGAAGGUGCGGUAACACGCACUGGAGGUCCGAACCCACUAAUGUUGAAAAAUUAGGGGAUGAGCUGUGGGUAGGGGUGAAAGGCUAAACAAACUUGGAAAUAGCUGGUUCUCUCCGAAAACUAUUUAGGUAGUGCCUCAAGUAUCACCAUCGGGGGUAGAGCACUGUUAUGGCUAGGGGGUCAUCGCGACUUACCAAACCAUUGCAAACUCCGAAUACCGAUGAGUGCGAGCUUGGGAGACAGACGUCGGGUGCUAACGUCCGGCGUCAAGAGGGAAACAACCCAGACCGCCAGCUAAGGUCCCAAAGAUUGGCUAAGUGGAAAACGAAGUGGGAAGGCUAAAACAGUCAGGAUGUUGGCUUAGAAGCAGCCAUCAUUUAAAGAAAGCGUAAUAGCUCACUGAUCGAGUCGUCCUGCGCGGAAGAUGUAACGGGGCUAAGCCAGUCACCGAAGCUGCGGAUAUGUAGUAAUACAUAUGGUAGGAGAGCGUUCUGUAAGCCUGUGAAGGUGUCUUGUAAAGGAUGCUGGAGGUAUCAGAAGUGCGAAUGCUGACAUGAGUAGCGAUAAUGGGGGUGAAAAGCCCCCACGCCGUAAGCCCAAGGUUUCCUGUUCAACGUUCAUCGGAGCAGGGUGAGUCGGCCCCUAAGGCGAGGCAGAGAUGCGUAGCUGAUGGGAAGCAGGUUAAUAUUCCUGCACCGUCGUAUGAUGCGAUGGGGGGACGGAUCGCGGAAGGUUGUCUGACUGUUGGAAUAGUCAGUUUCUGCUUCAUAGAAGGUGCUUAGGCAAAUCCGGGC
This 893-nucleotide ribosomal RNA is filed under the name Duganella lactea. RNAcentral describes it as "partial 23S ribosomal RNA". It matches the Rfam family "Bacterial large subunit ribosomal RNA", at positions 643 to 1547 of the family's 2925-position model. The record is from RNAcentral. Lineage: Bacteria; Pseudomonadati; Pseudomonadota; Betaproteobacteria; Burkholderiales; Oxalobacteraceae.